Molecule: long non-coding RNA, 817 nt
Filed under: Glycine max (soybean)
Lineage: Eukaryota; Viridiplantae; Streptophyta; Magnoliopsida; Fabales; Fabaceae
Description: long non-coding RNA (GMAX_LNC003069)
Source: RNAcentral
CUGAUGUAGCAACAUUUGGAGCAGUGAGACAAGUUCGUGCAGUGACAUGACUACAGAUUCCCAAGACGGUUCGUAAUUGUGUAGUCUGAAUGAGGAGUGGCAAAUCUUGAACUUGAUCACGUCGUGCGCCAAGAAGGUUCGUAAUUGUAUUGUAUGAAUGAGGAAUGUAAGGUUUUGGAAAUGGAACUAUGUUAGUUCCUGGAAAUGGAAUUAUUUUUAAUGGCGGUCCUGGUCGAAUCGGUGGAAGUGGAAUUACUCUUCCAAGAGUUCCAGCAUCUGUUUGAUGGUUAUCUAAUUUGGAGCGACGACCACGAGGUGAAAAUGGAACUAUGUUUGGAGGUCUUGGAAAUGGAAUUAUGUUAGGAUCUACUGGAGGUCUUGGUGGAAAGGGUGGAAGUAUAAUUAGGUCUCCAAGAGUUCCAGCAUCUGUUUGAUGGUUAUCUAAUUUGGAGCGACGACGUCUUGGAAAUGGAACUAUGUUUGGAGGUCUUGGAAAUGGAACUAUGUUAGUUCCUGGAAAUGGAAUUAUUUUUAAUGGCGGUCCUGGUCGAAUCGGUGGAAGUGGAAUUACUUUUCCAAGAGUUCCAGCAUCUGUUUGAUGGUUAUCUAAUUUGGAGCGACGACGUUUUAUAAAUGGAACUAUGUUUGGAGGUCUUGGAAAUGGAAUUAUGUUAGGAUCUACUGGAGGUCUUGGUGGAAAGGGUGGAAGUGUAAUUAGGUCUCCAAGAGUUCCAACAUUUGUUUGAUGGUCUAGCAAGCAUCUCUCCAUAGAAUCCAAAAGGCAAAGAGCCAACCCAUCCUGCUUCUGCAUUAAUGC